Molecule: ribosomal RNA, 393 nt
Filed under: uncultured bacterium
Lineage: Bacteria
Description: partial 16S ribosomal RNA
Rfam family: Bacterial small subunit ribosomal RNA
Source: RNAcentral
AUACGGAGGACGCGAGCGUUAUCCGGAUUCAUUGGGUUUAAAGGGUGCGCAGGCGGCCGUGCAAGUCAGCGGUGAAAGCCCGGGGCUCAACCCCGGAAGUGCCGUUGUUACUGCAUGGCUGGAAUGCGGUCGAGGCGGGCGGGACGUGGCGGGUAGCGGUGAAAUGCGUAGAUAUGCCACAGAACGCCGAUAGCGGAGGCAGCUCGCCAGGCCUGCAUUGACGCUCGGGCACGAAAGCGUGGGGAUCGAACAGGAUUAGAUACCCUGGUAGUCCACGCCGUAAACGAUGGGCGCUCGUCGUCGGCGGCAGACAGUCGGCGGCCAAGCGAAGGCGAUAAGCGCCCCACCUGGGGAGUACGGUCGCAAGGCUGAAACUCAAAUGAAUUGACGGGG